Molecule: ribosomal RNA, 251 nt
Filed under: uncultured prokaryote
Description: partial 16S rRNA
Rfam family: Bacterial small subunit ribosomal RNA
Source: RNAcentral
ACGUAGGGGGCUAGCGUUGUUCGGAAUUACUGGGCGUAAAGCGCGUGUAGGCGGUUCGGCAAGUCGGAAGUGAAAGCCCUCGGCUCAACCGGGGAACUGCUUUCGAAACUGCUGGACUUGAGUGUGGGAGGGGAGAGCGGAAUUCCAGGUGUGGCGGUGAAAUGCGUAGAUAUCUGGAAGAACACCGGUGGCGAAGGCGGCUCUCAGGACCACUUCUGACGCUGAGACGCGAAAGCGUGGGGAGAGAACAG